AAUGUUCUUUCGGGAACAGGACAGUGGCGCACGGGUGAGUAACGCGUGGGAAUCUACCAUGGAGUGGGGGAUAACAUUUGGAAACGAAUGCUAAUACCGCAUACGCCCUACGGGGGAAAGAUUUAUUGCUCUAUGAUGAGCCCGCGUUAGAUUAGCUAGUUGGUGAGGUAAUGGCUCACCAAGGCGACGAUCUAUAGCUGGUCUGAGAGGAUGAUCAGCCACACUGGGACUGAGACACGGCCCAGACUCC
Molecule: ribosomal RNA, 250 nt
Filed under: uncultured bacterium
Lineage: Bacteria
Description: partial 16S ribosomal RNA
Rfam family: Bacterial small subunit ribosomal RNA
Source: RNAcentral